RNAcentral lists this long non-coding RNA (1726 nucleotides) under Malus domestica (apple). Its description in RNAcentral is "long non-coding RNA (MDOM_LNC011528)". Lineage: Eukaryota; Viridiplantae; Streptophyta; Magnoliopsida; Rosales; Rosaceae. The record is from RNAcentral.
UUUUAUUUCAUGUGACAUUGCUCUUAGCUGUACUUAUCUGAUGGGUUUAAAUUGCAUUUUUGGUGCUAAUUUUCUUCUUUCAUACACUAAAGAGUACAUUAAGACCAAGGAACAAAAUGCCGAUAAUAUCGGCGAUAUUUCGCCGAUAUUAUCCGUUUUUCACGGUACCGAUAUUUUAAUAGGUAUCCAACGGGUUUUCGUCAAAAUAUCGCGAUAUUAUCGAUAAUAUCGCGAUAUUUCCGAAACUAUCGCGAUAUUUUGGAACUGUGCUACUCGGAGAAGAACGCUGGAGCUUCUACAGCUCCGGCCGAUUACAAACGCAAACCUUAGACUCCGAUCUAAUUACCAACGUGAAGAGGAAAGAGAGAGGAGUAAGUUUAUACCCCUGGUUCGCCGUGAAAUGGCCGAAGGUGUUCGGAAAGCUCCUCAACAGUCACGGGUUCGCCGGAGUUGGGUGAGCUUUCCCCCGACCUGAUCUCGUUCCAUAACACACACCCAAGCUUACCUAACCGGAGAAAAUGAAGAAAACUCGCCGGAGGUUUCUGGGUUUCGUCGAUCUUGCAGAGACAAGAGGAAGAGAGAGAAAGACGAGGUUUUGAUGGUGAUGCUGUCUACGGAACGAUGGUGUGGGUGCCGUGUACUAGGGUAAUCACGGGAGAAAGAGUGAGAGUGAUGAGAGGGUUUCGAGAGAGAAGAGAGUGUGCAGAGAAGGAAAGAAAGAGAAGAAGAAAGAAAGGGGGUUUCAGGUAGGAUCUGGUUGAUCUCGGUGACGAUGGUGACGAAGCCGGAGGAGGAAGAGGAGGAGGAGGGGAGGCGGCGGAGGGAGAAGGAGUAGGAGGAAACGAAGAGGGUUUUGCAGGGGCGGAGAUUGCGAAGAGGGAGAAGAGGGCGAUAAGGAAGAGGAGGGAUCAUUGACUCGUUUUCUUUGUCUUUUCUUCUUUCUCGUUUCAAUUGGCAAUUUCGGGAUUUAAGCAAGUUUCAGGCCCCCAAAUGCCGUGUACUAGGGUAAUCACGGGAGAAAGAGUGAGAGUGAUGAGAGGGUUUCGAGAGAGAAGAGAGAGUGUGCAGAGAAGGAAAGAAAGAGAAGAAGAAAGAAAGGGGGUUUCAGGUAGGAUCUGGUUGAUCUCGGUGACGAUGGUGACGAAGCCGGAGGAGGAAGAGGAGGAGGGGAGGCGGCGGAGGGAGAAGGAGUAGGAGGAAACGAAGAGGGUUUUGCAGGGGCGGAGAUUGCGAAGAGGGAGAAGAGGGCGAUAAGGAAGAGGAGGGAUCAUUGACUCGUUUUCUUUGUCUUUUCUUCUUUCUCGUUUCAAUUGGCAAUUUCGGGAUUUAAGCAAGUUUCAGGCCCCCAAAUGCCGUGUACUAGGGUAAUCACGGGAGAAAGAGUGAGAGUGAUGAGAGGGUUUCGAGAGAGAAGAGAGUGUGCAGAGAAGGAAAGAAAGAGAAGAAGAAAGAAAGGGGGUUUCGGGUAGGAUCUGGUUGAUCUCGGUGAUGAUGGUGACGAAGCCGGAGGAGGAAGAGGAGGAGGGGAGGCGGCGGAGGGAGAAGGAGUAGGAGGAAACGAAGAGGGUUUUGCAGGGGCGGAGAUUGCGAAGAGGGAGAGGAGGGCGAUAAGGAAGAGGAGGGAUCGUUGACUCGUUCUCUUUGUCUUUUCUUCUUUCUCGUUUCAAUUGGCAAUUUCGGGAUUUAAGCAAGGUUCAGGCCCCCAAAUCAUCUACUUAUAUUGCCC